Molecule: long non-coding RNA, 716 nt
Organism: Pollicipes pollicipes
Lineage: Eukaryota; Metazoa; Arthropoda; Thecostraca; Pollicipedomorpha; Pollicipedidae
Exons: 2
Source: RefSeq, a predicted model, not a curated record
GCGGGAGUCGUGGCUCGGCUGUGCUGAAGCAACCACAGCGCGCCAUGAAGAUCUCCGAGACUGGCCCUGUUCGCCUAUUGGUGCUGAUGACCGCGGUCGGGGUCGUCCGGCCACUACCGGUGAGCACAUCAGCUGCUCACAACCGACCUGCUCGGAGUAGCACCUUCUCCGGUGGGAUUGCACAGCAGGCUUUUCCGUUCGACGACCGUGGCGGAAUCAAUCCGUCCAUCGGCAUCGGUGACGGCUGCGGCUCGCGUGGCACUUGCGGAGGCACGUGCUGCACUCGGCUCGGUGACGGCCUUCCCUCGGCGCCCACGUGUGAUGGCCGACUGGUGUUUGUGGCGGCCGCCGGGGGGUGCGUCGAUUGCUUGUUCCAGCCACACCCGCUCUGUCCCGGCCUGACGGCCAAUCCCUUCAAACUCAAUAUCUCAGCGGAUAGGAGAUUUUCGGCUGCUGCCUUUCCUACUCUUAACGGACAGGCUUUGCUAACUGAUUAUUGAGGCCUGCCGCAGACCGUGACACCGUUCUGUCCUCAACAGUUACCGUUGUUGAGUAUCAAUGGUUCCGGUAGACUGUAGUUGUUCAGACUCACACGCAACACAUCGAAAUACGCUUUUCGUGGAUGAAGCUGCACGGCAUGCAUACUGCACAUUAUUUUUGGGGCUUGGGCUUUGAUUGGGCUUUUUUGAAUACACGAACUCGGAGUUGUUACUGUU